Diospyros lotus (date-plum) is the source of this 473-nucleotide long non-coding RNA. RefSeq lists it as uncharacterized. The transcript is spliced from 2 exons. The record is from RefSeq and is a predicted model, not a curated record. Lineage: Eukaryota; Viridiplantae; Streptophyta; Magnoliopsida; Ericales; Ebenaceae.
AGUUCACCUUCUGAUGUAGAUAAUGGUUCUAGUUCUCUAACAAGAACUGAAAUAAACUAUAAAUUGAUGUGUUUUCAAUGGAGUGGUAGGCCAGCAAGGUAGAGAAGCUUUAGUCUCUUUUGUGUGAAGAGAAAUCAGAAGGAAAAUGUCAUCAGUGAAGGCUGAUAAACCUGCUGGUUCUCAACCAGUUCCACAGGCCAAGAAGGAGCCUACUAAAUCCCCAGCCUCUAUCCAGGCUCCAAAGAAGAUCGAGCAAAAACCUCAAGAGCCUAAGAAGAAGGCAUCAGGUGGCAGAUCAGCAACAGCAAAGAAGAAAUAAGAAGGAUGAGUGUCUUAGCAGAAGCUCAGUGUCUAUCUGCCAAUGAAGCAUGUGAUUUUUAAUCGAUAGUAUGAAAUCACUGGCUUGUAAUCUUUAUCUAUGUAGUCCUAUCCAGGCCCAGCCUAACUAAAUAAAUCAUAAAUAUUUAAAAGGA